UAUUCGUUGGUUUAAAUCAAACCUGUUAUGAUUUAAGGUAACGAAUCAUCACCAACCACGCUAUCUGCCGAGCUUGACUCCGGGUAGCGUGGUUAUUUU
Molecule: non-coding RNA, 99 nt
Organism: Streptococcus agalactiae LMG 14747
Lineage: Bacteria; Bacillati; Bacillota; Bacilli; Lactobacillales; Streptococcaceae
Source: Rfam